Molecule: long non-coding RNA, 324 nt
Organism: Ictalurus punctatus (channel catfish)
Lineage: Eukaryota; Metazoa; Chordata; Actinopteri; Siluriformes; Ictaluridae
Source: Ensembl
CCCCUAAUUUGCUUAAGCGGGGAGUUUGUUUUCUCUGGAAGCAGUUACACAAAUUAUUUCCUUGAGGGAUGACUAUUGGGGAAUCCUGUCCACAAAUCCUAUCCCUGAGGACGUCGAUUUGCAUGCAAGUGGUCACAGGGACUGGAGUCUAUCCCAGGGAGCAUCGGGCACAAGGCAGGGUACACUGUGGACAGGGUGCCAAUCCAUUGCAGGGCACAACAUAACAUUUUCAUUUAUUUAAAAAAAUGAAUUCAGUAAACUGUUGAUUUCCUGGGGUUUUCACCCAGGGAAAAUGCCAGGCAAAUUUUUCCCAAUUUUCAUCUG